Molecule: ribosomal RNA, 253 nt
Filed under: uncultured bacterium
Lineage: Bacteria
Description: partial 16S ribosomal RNA
Rfam family: Bacterial small subunit ribosomal RNA
Source: RNAcentral
UACGUAGGGUGCGAGCGUUAAUCGGAAUUACUGGGCGUAAAGCGUGCGCAGGCGGUUCGUUGUGUCUGAUGUGAAAGCCCCGGGCUCAACCUGGGAAUGGCAUUGGAAACUGGCGAGCUAGAGUGUGGCAGAGGGGGGUGGAAUUCCGCGUGUAGCAGUGAAAUGCGUAGAGAUGCGGAGGAACACCGAUGGCGAAGGCAGCCCCCUGGGCUGACACUGACGCUCAGGCACGAAAGCGUGGGGAGCGAACAGG